GCGGGGAUAGCUCAGUUGGGAGAGCGUCAGACUGAAGUCACAACUUCAUUCUUAAUGAUAUCUGAAGGUCGUGCGUUCGAUCCGCACUCACCGCA
Molecule: transfer RNA, 95 nt
Filed under: Poronia punctata
Lineage: Eukaryota; Fungi; Ascomycota; Sordariomycetes; Xylariales; Xylariaceae
Description: tRNA-Phe
Rfam family: tRNA
About the family: Transfer RNA (tRNA) molecules are approximately 80 nucleotides in length.
Source: RNAcentral